Small nuclear RNA from Apodemus sylvaticus (European woodmouse), 106 nucleotides. Lineage: Eukaryota; Metazoa; Chordata; Mammalia; Rodentia; Muridae. The record is from RefSeq and is a predicted model, not a curated record.
AUGCCCAUCUCAGUGGCAGAUACACUAAAACUGCAACAAUACAGAGAAGAUUGGCAUGGCCCCUGCACAAGAUGACACACAAAUUUAUGAAGUGUUCCAUGUUAAA